This 1224-nucleotide ribosomal RNA is filed under the name Klebsiella pneumoniae. RNAcentral's name for it is "bacterial LSU rRNA". It matches the Rfam family "Bacterial large subunit ribosomal RNA", at positions 1 to 1258 of the family's 2925-position model. Lineage: Bacteria; Pseudomonadati; Pseudomonadota; Gammaproteobacteria; Enterobacterales; Enterobacteriaceae. RNAcentral also lists the same sequence under 1 other name. The record is from RNAcentral.
GGGUUGUGAGGUUAAGCGACUAAGCGUACACGGUGGAUGCCCUGGCAGUCAGAGGCGAUGAAGGACGUGCUAAUCUGCGAAAAGCGUCGGUAAGGUGAUAUGAACCGUUAUAACCGGCGAUGUCCGAAUGGGGAAACCCAGUGUGAUUCGUCACACUAUCGUUAACUGAAUACAUAGGUUAACGAGGCGAACCGGGGGAACUGAAACAUCUAAGUACCCCGAGGAAAAGAAAUCAACCGAGAUUCCCCCAGUAGCGGCGAGCGAACGGGGAGCAGCCCAGAGUCUGAAUCAGCUUGUGUGUUAGUGGAACGGUCUGGAAAGUCCGACGGUACAGGGUGAUAGUCCCGUACACCAAAAUGCACAGGUUGUGAACUCGAAGAGUAGGGCGGGACACGUGGUAUCCUGUCUGAAUAUGGGGGGACCAUCCUCCAAGGCUAAAUACUCCUGACUGACCGAUAGUGAACCAGUACCGUGAGGGAAAGGCGAAAAGAACCCCGGCGAGGGGAGUGAAAAAGAACCUGAAACCGUGUACGUACAAGCAGUGGGAGCACCUUCGGGUGUGACUGCGUACCUUUUGUAUAAUGGGUCAGCGACUUAUAUUCUGUAGCAAGGUUAACCGUAUAGGGGAGCCGCAGGGAAACCGAGUCUUAACUGGGCGUUAAGUUGCAGGGUAUAGACCCGAAACCCGGUGAUCUAGCCAUGGGCAGGUUGAAGGUUGGGUAACACUAACUGGAGGACCGAACCGACUAAUGUUGAAAAAUUAGCGGAUGACUUGUGGCUGGGGGUGAAAGGCCAAUCAAACCGGGAGAUAGCUGGUUCUCCCCGAAAGCUAUUUAGGUAGCGCCUCGUGAACUCAUCUUCGGGGGUAGAGCACUGUUUCGGCUAGGGGGUCAUCCCGACUUACCAACCCGAUGCAAACUACGAAUACCGAAGAAUGUUAUCACGGGAGACACACGGCGGGUGCUAACGUCCGUCGUGAAGAGGGAAACAACCCAGACCGCCAGCUAAGGUCCCAAAGUCAUGGUUAAGUGGGAAACGAUGUGGGAAGGCACAGACAGCCAGGAUGUUGGCUUAGAAGCAGCCAUCAUUUAAAGAAAGCGUAAUAGCUCACUGGUCGAGUCGGCCUGCGCGGAAGAUGUAACGGGGCUAAACCAUGCACCGAAGCUGCGGCAGCGACACUAUGUGUUGUUGGGUAGGGGAGCGUUCUGUAAGCCUGCGAAGGUG